AUUGAACGCUGGCGGCAUGCCUUACACAUGCAAGUCGAACGGCAGCGCGGGAGCAAUCCUGGCGGCGAGUGGCGAACGGGUGAGUAAUACAUCGGAACGUGCCCAAUCGUGGGGGAUAACGCAGCGAAAGCUGUGCUAAUACCGCAUACGAUCUACGGCUGAAAGCAGGGGAUCGCAAGACCUUGCGCGAAUGGAGCGGCCGAUGGCAGAUUAGGUAGUUGGUGAGGUAAAGGCUCACCAAGCCUUCGAUCUGUAGCUGGUCUGAGAGGACGACCAGCCACACUGGGACUGAGACACGGCCCAGACUCCUAAGGGAGGCAGCAGUGGGGAAUUUUGGACAAUGGGCGAAAGCCUGAUCCAGCCAUGGCGCGUGCAGGAUGAAGGCCUUCGGGUUGUAAACUGCUUUUGUACGGAACGAAACGGUCUUUUCUAAUAAAGAAGGCUAAUGACGGUACCGUAAGAAUAAGCACCGGCUAACUACGUG
RNAcentral lists this ribosomal RNA (484 nucleotides) under uncultured bacterium. RNAcentral describes it as "partial 16S ribosomal RNA". It matches the Rfam family "Bacterial small subunit ribosomal RNA", at positions 30 to 507 of the family's 1533-position model. The record is from RNAcentral.